UGGGGAAUAUUGCGCAAUGGGGGAAACCCUGACGCAGCGACGCCGCGUGGGUGAUGAAGGCCUUCGGGUUGUAAAGCCCUGUCGGCUGGGAAAAAGGUAGUUGCGCUAAUACCGCAAUUGCUUGAUGGUACCAGCAAAGGAAGCACCGGCUAACUCUGUGCCAGCAGCCGCGGUAAUACAGAGGGUGCAAGCGUUGUUCGGAAUUACUGGGCGUAAAGGGCGUGUAGGCGGCUUAGCAAGUCAGAUGUGAAAUCCCGGGGCUUAACUUCGGAAGUGCAUUUGAAACUGCUAGGCUAGAGUGAGGUAGAGGUUGGUGGAAUUCCCAGUGUAGAGGUGAAAUUCGUAGAUAUUGGGAGGAACACCGGUGGCGAAGGCGGCCAACUGGGCCUUAACUGACGCU
This 400-nucleotide ribosomal RNA is filed under the name uncultured bacterium. RNAcentral describes it as "bacterial SSU rRNA". It matches the Rfam family "Bacterial small subunit ribosomal RNA", at positions 355 to 747 of the family's 1533-position model. The record is from RNAcentral.